GGCAUUAGGUUGUCGCGCAGGGGAUCGCCCAUCGUUUACUGUGAGAAAAUUAAAGUGUUCAAAGCAGGCUUACGCCGUUGAAUAUAUUAGCAUGGAAUAAUAAGAUAGGACCUUGGUACUAUUUUGUUGGUUUGCGCACCGAGGUAAUGAUUAAUAGGGACAGUUGGGGGUAUUCGUAUUCCAUUGUCAGAGGUGAAAUUCUUGGAUUUCUGGAAAACGAACUACUGCGAAAGCAUUUACCAAGGAUGUUUUCAUUAAUCAAAAACGAAAGUUAGGGGAUCGAAAAUGAUUAGAUACCAUCGUAGUC
Molecule: ribosomal RNA, 307 nt
Filed under: Nupela indonesica
Lineage: Eukaryota; Bacillariophyta; Bacillariophyceae; Naviculales; Nupelaceae
Description: SSU rRNA
Rfam family: Eukaryotic small subunit ribosomal RNA
Source: RNAcentral